This 253-nucleotide ribosomal RNA is filed under the name uncultured prokaryote. RNAcentral's name for it is "partial 16S ribosomal RNA". It matches the Rfam family "Bacterial small subunit ribosomal RNA", at positions 525 to 777 of the family's 1533-position model. The record is from RNAcentral.
ACGUAGGAUGCAAGCGUUGUCCGGAAUCAUUGGGCGUAAAGCGAACGUAGGCGGUUUCUUAAGUCCGUGCUUAAAGACUGGGGCUCAACCCCAGGAGUGGCAUGGAUACUGGGAGACUGGAGGACGUCAGAGGAAAGUGGAAUUCCUAGUGUAGCGGUGGAAUGCGUAGAUAUUAGGAGGAACACCAGUGGCGAAAGCGACUUUCUGGGACGUUCCUGACGCUGAGGUUCGAAAGCUCGGGGAGCAAACAGGA